This 1003-nucleotide long non-coding RNA is filed under the name Mus spicilegus (steppe mouse). RNAcentral describes it as "lncRNA (ENSMSIG00000030262.1)". The record is from RNAcentral. Lineage: Eukaryota; Metazoa; Chordata; Mammalia; Rodentia; Muridae.
CCUCUAGUGCCUAGAAUGGUGCCAGCCAUCUGUGGCUGCUCCAUCAAGGGAGACUGAAGUCAACCCGAAAGAGUGAUUGUAUUUAACUAUUUUAAGUGAAACACAUAAAAUAGUAUCCCAUUAUGAGAACAUCCUACAUUGUGAAGUGUUGGAACAACGCAGCAUAAAUGGAGAAGGAGACGGUGAAAAAGAUGAAGAACCACUAUGAAACUUGAGCUGACAGAGUUUGGAAUAAGAAUGGAUGUGACAGCUACAGAAGAAGAAAAGACAAUGUUGUUUCUGAAGUGGCAUGCCCUCCAGGGAGGAAUGGUUACUUAAUUAUGUAGGUGGCUCUUGGACAUGUCUGAUGAUAUCUGACACACAGUUCUGAGUUCGUCCGAAUAUCCAACCCACUCUGCAGCAUGCAGCAUCUUUUCUUUGUGGGCAGGACCUCAUCCUCAUCAUCCAAGGGUUGUCUCUUCUUCCUGGAUUCUCAUUCAAACAGCACUCUGAAUAAUUGUUCAAGGAUCUUCUCGGAUACCAUUAUGUCAAGCCAUCAUUACUUCACAUAGAAGACAAGAAGAAAAUAGUGUCUCUUCUAAGUCAAGUCACACUUUUGCUGCCUGUAGAUCCAAGACAAUGUUGGGCAGAUUGAUUACAGAGUCCAAUCUCCUAAACUGCAUAUGGAUUAGGAAACAGAUCCAGAUGAGCUGGGAGACACGUCCGACUUACUGGAUGGAGAGGUGGAAAUUCAUUAACUUUCAUGUUCAUUAAUGGCAUAUAAUUUAUUUCUCUUUAAACUUUAAUUCUGACCACAAGCUUGUUGCCUCUGGGCAUGUUGCUGACAUUUGGGACAAUUUUUUUGGCCAAGACUUUGAAUGAGCAAUACAAACUUCUGCUCAUGCCACAUGGGUGGUUUCCUUGAGGUGUUGUCAUGUUCACAAUCAUGUGAGUAGCUUCCCUUUCUCAAACAGUGGGGCUCUAUCAGAAAAACUAUCAUGCCCACUUUAUUAGACAACUGAAC